AGGGGUGUAGCUCAAUUGGUAGAGCGCUGGUCUCCAAAACCAGAGGUUGGGAGUUCGAGCCCCCCCGCCCCUGCCA
RNAcentral lists this transfer RNA (76 nucleotides) under Planctomycetota bacterium. Its description in RNAcentral is "Planctomycetes bacterium (groundwater metagenome) tRNA-Trp". It matches the Rfam family "tRNA". Rfam says of the family: Transfer RNA (tRNA) molecules are approximately 80 nucleotides in length. Their secondary structure includes four short double-helical elements and three loops (D, anti-codon, and T loops). RNAcentral also lists the same sequence under 1 other name. The record is from RNAcentral. Lineage: Bacteria; Pseudomonadati; Planctomycetota.